GCCCCAGUGACCUAAUGGACAAGGCACUGGUCUCUACAGCCAGGGGUUGUGGGUUCAAGUCCCACCUGCGGUA
This 73-nucleotide transfer RNA is filed under the name Pelodiscus sinensis (Chinese soft-shelled turtle). It matches the Rfam family "tRNA". Rfam says of the family: Transfer RNA (tRNA) molecules are approximately 80 nucleotides in length. The record is from Rfam by way of RNAcentral. Lineage: Eukaryota; Metazoa; Chordata; Testudines; Trionychidae.